Papaver somniferum (opium poppy) is the source of this 1103-nucleotide long non-coding RNA. RefSeq lists it as uncharacterized. Lineage: Eukaryota; Viridiplantae; Streptophyta; Magnoliopsida; Ranunculales; Papaveraceae. The transcript has 2 exons. The record is from RefSeq and is a predicted model, not a curated record.
AUUCCAAGAUUUUUUCAGGUGAUUUAGGUAUUAUUCUUAGUGAUUGGCGUUAAUUUUUCAUAGGUUUUACUCUUUUUUCUUCUUUUAAUCUAUCUGAAUCUGGGAAAAUGGAGUCUUCAAUCCAAGGUUCGAUAGAAAAAAACUUUGGAUCUGAGAAAUUAGGACCUAUUUUUGAAAUUAGAAAUAAAUCUAUCGAUGAGAUUGUAGGGACCCUCACGCUCGUCAACGCGAUUAGACCAGUCAUGAGACGACUAAACCGCUUCUGACUCGAUUAAUUAGAGACGGACGUUAAUUAUUAGGAAUUAAACUAACAACGAUCUAGAUACGGAACUAGUAUCACUAAAUGGAUCUAGAAAAGUUAUGCGGAAUAGACUACUCGAACGUGUCAUUCAGACACCGGAUGAAGAAGAUAUCACUUGAUUUGUAUGAAGGGAAAAUAAUCAUUUUACACCUAAACCGCAUGGCUUCCCUUAUCAAUUUAAUGGGUGCAUUAAUAUUUUUCUUUGGUCUUAUCAUACCUUAAACGUGUCAAAGAGAAAUCAUUUUCUCUUUUCUUUUCUCUUUCCUUCUUAUUUCUUCUUGUUUCCUCGUUUUUUCUUCUGCUCCUCCUCUCGGUUCUGCUCUGGUUGUUUUUGGGAGAUGAAAUAUAGUUAUGAGAUCGAGAUAAGAAGAGUCUGAUCAUGAAUCAGGUGCUGGUGGAAGUUUUGUGGUUGUUUGAGUUUAGGAGGAGGUUGAAUCGAGAAGCCAGUGAGUUAGGGUUUUGGUUUGUUUCUGAGUUUGUGUAGAACGAGGAUGAUAUCCGGUUGUAAUAACUGAAGAUUAAGAGGGUUGUUGAUGAAUUGAUGAGAUGAAGCAGUCCUGCUGGGAAAUCGAAAGAAAAGGGAUGAUCUAGUGGACUGCGGAUCUUGAGGUAGACAUGGCAUGUCAUCAAACCAGUUUCAGUAUUCAGAAGAGGUGGCGCGCAUGAAGAUAUAUUCGUUUCGUAGUUUGAAACUUUAGCCGAUUAAGAACGUUUAUGGAUCUUUUACAUAUAUGUAUCCUUUGUUUAUCUGUAAAACAACACAUUAAUAUAUUCAUAUUAUUUGGGAGUUUUCAUCUAUUAA